RNAcentral lists this unclassified non-coding RNA (382 nucleotides) under Haliotis rubra (blacklip abalone). RNAcentral describes it as "protein fem-1 homolog A-like, transcript variant X1". The record is from RNAcentral. Lineage: Eukaryota; Metazoa; Mollusca; Gastropoda; Lepetellida; Haliotidae.
ACAUCAACAGUAGGAAUCGGUAUAGAAGUACCCCUGUGAUGAUUGCAGCAGCGAAGGGACAAAGAGCAGUGUUUGACUUUCUUGUUAGCAAAGGAGCUGAUCUAUCAUUAGUGGAUGAUGACGGAGACAACAUCCUCCAUAUGGCCUGUAUUGGAGGACAUGUUGACAUGGUGAAGUAUGUCCUCUCACAGAAGGUUGCAGACAUCAACAGUAGGGGUCAGUACGGGAGGACACCCGUGAUGCUGGCGGCAAAUAUGGGACACAGGCAGGGAAGUGUUUGACUAACGUGUUAGAGAAGGAGCUGAUGUAUGACUAGUGGAUGAUGACAGACACAACAUCCUUCAGUAGGGAUCAGUACGGGAGCACACUCGUAAUGGUGGCA